This 798-nucleotide ribosomal RNA is filed under the name uncultured Glomus. Its description in RNAcentral is "SSU rRNA". It matches the Rfam family "Eukaryotic small subunit ribosomal RNA", at positions 314 to 1114 of the family's 1831-position model. The record is from RNAcentral. Lineage: Eukaryota; Fungi; Glomeromycota; Glomeromycetes; Glomerales; Glomeraceae.
AUCAACUUCGAUGGUAGGAUAGAGGCCUACCAUGGUGGUAACGGGUAACGGGGUGUUAGGGCACGACACCGGAGAGGGAGCCUGAGAAACGGCUACCACAUCCAAGGAUGGCAGCAGGCGCGCAAAUUACCCAAUCCCGACACGGGGAGGUAGUGACAAUAAAUAACAAUACGGGGUUCUUUAGGAUCUCGUAAUUGGAAUGAGUACAAUUUAAAUCUCUUAACGAGGAACAAUUGGAGGGCAAGUCUGGUGCCAGCGGCCGCGGUAAUUCCAGCUCCAAUAGCGUAUAUUAAAGUUGUUGCAGUUAAAAAGCUCGUAGUUGAAUUUCGGGGUUAGUAGGUUGGUCAUGCCUCUGGUAUGUACUGGUCUCACUGAUUCCUCCUUCCUGAUGAACCGUAAUGCCAUUAAUUUGGUGUUGCGGGGAAUUUGGACUGUUACUUUGAAAAAAUUAGAGUGUUUAAAGCAAGCUAACGCUUGAAUACAUUAGCAUGGAAUAAUGAAAUAGGACGUUCGGUCCUAUUUUGUUGGUUUCUAGGAUUGACGUAAUGAUUAAUAGGGAUAGUUGGGGGCAUUAGUAUUCAAUUGUCAGAGGUGAAAUUCUUGGAUUUAUUGAAGACUAACUACUGCGAAAGCAUUUGCCAAGGAUGUUUUCAUUAAUCAAGAACGAAAGUUAGGGGAUCGAAGACGAUCAGAUACCGUCGUAGUCUUAACCAUAAACUAUGCCGACUAGGGAUCGGAUGAUGUUAAUUUUUUAAUGACUCAUUCGGCGCCUUACGGGAAACCAAAGUGUUUGGGUUC